RNAcentral lists this transfer RNA (36 nucleotides) under Neuropeltis acuminata. RNAcentral's name for it is "partial tRNA-Phe". Lineage: Eukaryota; Viridiplantae; Streptophyta; Magnoliopsida; Solanales; Convolvulaceae. The record is from RNAcentral.
UCGGGAUAGCUCAGCUGGUAGAGCAGAGGACUGAAC